This 301-nucleotide ribosomal RNA is filed under the name uncultured bacterium. Its description in RNAcentral is "partial 16S ribosomal RNA". It matches the Rfam family "Bacterial small subunit ribosomal RNA", at positions 509 to 807 of the family's 1533-position model. The record is from RNAcentral.
CAGUCGCCGCGGGAAUACGAAGGGGGCUAGCGUUGCUCGGAAUUACUGGGCGUAAAGGGCGCGUAGGCGGAUGUUCAAGUCAGAGGUGAAAGCCCAGGGCUCAACCUUGGAACUGCCUUUGAUACUGGACAUCUUGAGUAUGGGAGAGGUGAGUGGAACUCCGAGUGUAGAGGUGAAAUUCGUAGAUAUUCGGAAGAACACCAGUGGCGAAGGCGACUCACUGGCCCAUUACUGACGCUGAGGCGCGAAAGCGUGGGGAGCAAACAGGAUUAGAUACCCCCGUAGUCCCUGUCUCUUAUAC